This is a long non-coding RNA of Asparagus officinalis (garden asparagus), 149 nucleotides long. RefSeq lists it as uncharacterized. The record is from RefSeq and is a predicted model, not a curated record. The transcript is spliced from 3 exons. NCBI's taxonomy places the organism in Eukaryota, Viridiplantae, Streptophyta, Magnoliopsida, Asparagales, Asparagaceae.
AGAUGAGCCAAAGAGUUAGGAGGCUAUCUUUUCCUCGGGAUCGAGAAGGUCCAUCAUCCGGAUCGUCCUCACGACCAUCUCGGAGUCAGUUAUCUCUACAUGGAUCCUCACCAAUUGAAGAUAUUGCGGGGACAUCUCAAAUGGGUACA